GGGUGAUUAGCUCAGUGGUAGAGCAUCUCGUUUACACCGAGAGGGUCGGCGGUUCGAACCCGUCAUCACCCACCA
Molecule: transfer RNA, 75 nt
Filed under: Holosporales bacterium
Lineage: Bacteria; Pseudomonadati; Pseudomonadota; Alphaproteobacteria; Holosporales
Description: tRNA-Val
Rfam family: tRNA
About the family: Transfer RNA (tRNA) molecules are approximately 80 nucleotides in length. Their secondary structure includes four short double-helical elements and three loops (D, anti-codon, and T loops).
Source: RNAcentral